This 425-nucleotide ribosomal RNA is filed under the name Clostridioides difficile. RNAcentral describes it as "bacterial LSU rRNA". It matches the Rfam family "Bacterial large subunit ribosomal RNA", at positions 1112 to 1541 of the family's 2925-position model. The record is from RNAcentral. Lineage: Bacteria; Bacillati; Bacillota; Clostridia; Peptostreptococcales; Peptostreptococcaceae.
GCAGCCACUCAUUCAAAGAGUGCGUAAUAGCUCACUGGUCGAGUGAUCCUGCGCCGAAGAUUUCCGGGGCUAAAACUUACUACCGAAGCUACGGCAUCAGUAAUGAUGGGUAGGGGAGCUUCCCAUACGGGUUGAAGCAUGACCGUAAGGACAUGUGGACAGUAUGGGAGUGAGAAUGUUGGCAUGAGUAGCGAGAUGUGGGUGAGAAUCCCACAGGCCGUAAACCCAAGGUUUCCAGGGGAAGGUUCGUCCGCCCUGGGUUAGUCGGGACCUAAGCUGAGGCCGAAAGGCGUAGGGGAUGGACAACAGGUUGAUAUUCCUGUACUACCGAUAACCGUUUGAGAGAAGGGAUGACACAGUAGGAUAAGCUAAGCACACUGUUGGUUAUGUGUGCCCAAGCAUUGAGGCAGUCAAAGUAGGCAAAU